GCUGACACAUCCCUGCCAAUCUCCGGCAGACCCUCCCUCCCAGACCCUCCCACCUCCUGGACAGCAUCCAUGUUGAAGCUGCCUUCAACAUGGAUGCUGUCCAGGAAGUAGGAGGGUCUGGGAGGGAGGGUCUGCUGGAGAUUGGCAGCGAUGCGUCAG
Molecule: non-coding RNA, 159 nt
Organism: Pelobates cultripes (western spadefoot toad)
Lineage: Eukaryota; Metazoa; Chordata; Amphibia; Anura; Pelobatidae
Source: the annotation of a GenBank genome assembly